ACGCGUGCUCCGGGGUCGGUGAAAGUCCGAACCGGCGGUGAUAGUCCGCGACCCGGUCGAAUCCAUCGACCGGUUGAACCGGUGUGAUUCCGGUACCGACGGUUAAAGUCCGGAUGGGAGGCAGUGCGCGU
Regulatory RNA element from Nocardiopsis sp. JB363, 131 nucleotides. It matches the Rfam family "FMN riboswitch aptamer (RFN element)". From Rfam's summary of the family: The RFN element is a highly conserved domain that is found frequently in the 5'-untranslated regions of prokaryotic mRNAs that encode for flavin mononucleotide (FMN) biosynthesis and transport proteins. This element is a metabolite-dependent riboswitch that directly binds FMN in the absence of proteins. NCBI's taxonomy places the organism in Bacteria, Bacillati, Actinomycetota, Actinomycetes, Streptosporangiales, Nocardiopsidaceae. The record is from Rfam.